UCCCUGGUGGCCCAGUGGCUAAGAUUCUGCAUUUCCAAUGCAGGAGGCCCAGGUUCAAUCCCUGAUUGGGGAA
Molecule: transfer RNA, 73 nt
Filed under: Bos taurus (domestic cattle)
Lineage: Eukaryota; Metazoa; Chordata; Mammalia; Artiodactyla; Bovidae
Also listed under: 2 other names
Rfam family: tRNA
About the family: Transfer RNA (tRNA) molecules are approximately 80 nucleotides in length. Their secondary structure includes four short double-helical elements and three loops (D, anti-codon, and T loops). Further hydrogen bonds mediate the characteristic L-shaped molecular structure. tRNAs have two regions of fundamental functional importance: the anti-codon, which is responsible for specific mRNA codon recognition, and the 3' end, to which the tRNAs corresponding amino acid is attached (by aminoacyl-tRNA synthetases). tRNAs cope with the degeneracy of the genetic code in two manners: having more than one tRNA (with a specific anti-codon) for a particular amino acid; and 'wobble' base-pairing, i.e. permitting non-standard base-pairing at the 3rd anti-codon position.
Source: Rfam by way of RNAcentral